RNAcentral lists this ribosomal RNA (319 nucleotides) under uncultured eukaryote. Its description in RNAcentral is "partial 18S ribosomal RNA". It matches the Rfam family "Eukaryotic small subunit ribosomal RNA", at positions 1470 to 1796 of the family's 1831-position model. The record is from RNAcentral.
CCCUUAGAUGUUCUGGGCCGCACGCGUGCUACACUGAGUGGAUCAGCGGGUCAGGUUGCGCGAAAGCGUUUCCUAAUCUUUAAAUCCGCUCGUGAUGGGGAUUGACGGUUGCAAUUUUCUGUCAUGAACGAGGAAUACCUUGUAAGCGCGGGUCAUCAUCCCGCGCUGAAUACGUCCCUGCCCUUUGUACACACCGCCCGUCGCACCUACCGAUUGAAUGUUUCGGUGAAGAUUCCGGAUAGGACUGAUUUGAUUUAUUUCAUUUCUGACCUAAAAGCUAUCUAAACCUCAACAUUUAGAGGAAGGUGAAGUCGUAACA